Molecule: non-coding RNA, 867 nt
Organism: Cyanistes caeruleus (blue tit)
Lineage: Eukaryota; Metazoa; Chordata; Aves; Passeriformes; Paridae
Source: RefSeq, a predicted model, not a curated record
CACAGUGGCUGCUGUGAGGCUGCACAGCGGCUGUGAGUUACAGGUUGUGAGUUACUCACAGGCUGCACAGCGGCUGUUACUCAGGUUACACAGCGGCUGUGACUUACAGGUUUCACUGUGGCUGCUGUGAGUUAUUCACAGUGGCCGCUGUGAGUUACAGGUUACACAGUGGCUGUUACUCACAGGUUACACAGCAGCGACUGUGAGUUACUCACAGGUUACACAGUGGCUGUGAGUCACUCACAGGUUACACAGUGGCUGUUACAGGUUACACAGCGGCUGUGAGUUACCCACAGGUUACACAGUGGCUGUUACUCACAGGUUACACAGCAGGUGCUGUGAGUUACUCACAGGUUACACAGUGGCUGUGAGUCACUCAGGUUACACAGCGGGUGCUGUGAGUUACUCACAGGUUACACAAUGGCUGUGAGUCACAGGUUACACAGUGGCUGUUACAGGUUACACAGCGGCUGUGAGUUACCCACAGGUUACACAGUGGCUGUUACUCACAGGUUACACAGCAGGUGCUGUGAGUUACUCACAGGUUACACAGUGGCUGUGAGUCACUCAGGUUACACAGUGGCUGUUACAGGUUGCACAGCAGUGGCUGUGAGUUACUCACAGGUUACACAGCGGCUGCUGUGAGUUACUCACAGGCUACACCCCAGCUCCGCGAUGCAGGAGGAGCAGCCGCCCCGUGGCUUGACAUUCUUUGGCCGUUUCCCGGGGCUCGGAACGUUCUGGAGCCGCUCGGGGCUGGGGCCGGAGCCCUGGAGGAGCCCUGGAGGAGCCCUGGAGGAGCCCUGGAGGAGCUCUGGAGGAGCUCUGGAGGAGCUCUGGAGGAGCCCUGGAGGAGCCCUGGAGGAG